UACGUAGGUGGCAAGCGUUGUCCGGAUUUACUGGGCGUAAAGAGCGCGCAGGCGGUCGUUCAAGUCGCGUGUGAAAGCCCCCGGCUCAACUGGGGAGGGUCACGCGAUACUGAUCGACUCGAAGGCAGGAGAGGGAAGUGGAAUUCCCGGUGUAGUGGUGAAAUGCGUAGAUAUCGGGAGGAACACCAGUGGCGAAGGCGGCAUCCUGGACUGGUCCUGACGCUCAGGAGCGAAAGCGUGGGGAGCGAUCCGG
Molecule: ribosomal RNA, 253 nt
Filed under: uncultured bacterium
Lineage: Bacteria
Description: partial 16S ribosomal RNA
Rfam family: Bacterial small subunit ribosomal RNA
Source: RNAcentral